UCAAGCGAACAAGUGCAUGUGGUGGAUGCCUUGGCGAUCACAGGCGAUGAAGGACGCGGUAGCCUGCGAAAAGCUACGGGGAGCUGGCAAACAAGCUUUGAUCCGUAGAUGUCCGAAUGGGGAAACCCACUCCUUUUGGAGUAUCCAUGGCUGAAUACAUAGGCCAUGUGAAGCGAACGCGGUGAACUGAAACAUCUAAGUAACCGCAGGAAAAGAAAUCAACCGAGAUUCCCAAAGUAGUGGCGAGCGAAAUGGGAUGAGCCUUGCACUCUUUAUUUGUAUUGUUAGCCGAACGCUCUGGAAAGUGCGGCCAUAGCAGGUGAUAGCCCUGUAGGCGAAAACAGUAUGAAAGAACUAGGUGUGCGACAAGUAGGGCGGGACACGUGAAAUCCUGUCUGAAGAUGGGGGGACCAUCCUCCAAGGCUAAAUACUCGUGAUCGACCGAUAGUGAACCAGUACCGUGAGGGAAAGGCGAAAAGAACCCCGGGAGGGGAGUGAAAUAGAUCCUGAAACCGCAUGCAUACAAACAGUCGGAGCCUCGUAAGGGGUGACGGCGUACCUUUUGUAUAAUGGGUCAGCGACUUACGUUCAGUAGCAAGCUUAACCGUAUAGGGCAGGCGUAGCGAAAGCGAGUCCGAAUAGGGCGUUCAGUUGCUGGGCGUAGACCCGAAACCAGGUGAUCUAUCCAUGGCCAGGAUGAAGGUGCGGUAACACGUACUGGAGGUCCGAACCCACUAACGUUGAAAAGUUAGGGGAUGAGCUGUGGAUAGGGGUGAAAGGCUAAACAAACCUGGAAAUAGCUGGUUCUCUCCGAAAACUAUUUAGGUAGUGCCUCGUGUCUCACCUUCGGGGGUAGAGCACUGUCAUGGUUGGGGGGUCUAUUGCAGAUUACCCCGCCAUAGCAAACUCCGAAUACCGAAGAGUGCAAUCACGGGAGACAGACAUCGGGUGCUAACGUCCGGUGUCAAGAGGGAAACAACCCAGACCGCCAGCUAAGGUCCCCAAAUAUAGCUAAGUGGGAAACGAAGUGGGAAGGCUAAAACAGUCAGGAGGUUGGCUUAGAAGCAGCCACCCUUUAAAGAAAGCGUAAUAGCUCACUGAUCGAGUCGUCCUGCGCGGAAGAUGUAACGGGGCUAAGCUAUAUACCGAAGCUGCGGAUGCGAGCUUUGCUCGCAUGGUAGGAGAGCGUUCCGUAAGCCUGCGAAGGUGCCUUGUAAAGGGUGCUGGAGGUAUCGGAAGUGCGAAUGCUGACAUGAGUAGCGAUAAAGGGGGUGAAAGGCCCCCUCGCCGUAAGCCCAAGGUUUCCUACGCAACGUUCAUCGGCGUAGGGUGAGUCGGCCCCUAAGGCGAGGCAGAAAUGCGUAGCUGAUGGGAAGCAGGUCAAUAUUCCUGCACCAUUGUUAGAUGCGAUGGGGGGACGGAUCGCGGAAGGUUGUCCGGGUGUUGGAAGUCCCGGUCGCUGCAUUGGAGAAGGCGCUUAGGCAAAUCCGGGCGCGGAAUUCAAGGGUGUGGCGCGAGCUCCUUAGGGAGCGAAGCAAUUGGAAGUGGUUCCAAGAAAAGCCUCUAAGCUUCAGUCUAACGAUGACCGUACCGCAAACCGACACAGGUGGGCGAGAUGAGUAUUCUAAGGCGCUUGAGAGAACUCGGGAGAAGGAACUCGGCAAAUUGGUACCGUAACUUCGGGAUAAGGUACGCCCUUGUAGCUUGACUGGCUUGCGCCAGAAGGGUGAAGGGGUUGCAAUAAACUGGUGGCUGCGACUGUUUAAUAAAAACACAGCACUCUGCAAACACGAAAGUGGACGUAUAGGGUGUGACGCCUGCCCGGUGCCGGAAGAUUAAAUGAUGGGGUGCAAGCUCUUGAUUGAAGUCCCGGUAAACGGCGGCCGUAACUAUAACGGUCCUAAGGUAGCGAAAUUCCUUGUCGGGUAAGUUCCGACCUGCACGAAUGGCGUAACGAUGGCCACACUGUCUCCUCCCGAGACUCAGCGAAGUUGAAGUGUUUGUGAUGAUGCAAUCUACCCGCGGCUAGACGGAAAGACCCCAUGAACCUUUACUGUAGCUUUGCAUUGGACUUUGAACCGAUCUGUGUAGGAUAGGUGGGAGGCUAUGAAACCGGAACGCUAGUUUCGGUGGAGCCGUCCUUGAAAUACCACCCUGGUUUGUUUGAGGUUCUAACCUUGGCCCGUGAUCCGGGUCGGGGACAGUGCAUGGUAGGCAGUUUGACUGGGGCGGUCUCCUCCCAAAGCGUAACGGAGGAGUACGAAGGUACGCUAGGUACGGUCGGAAAUCGUGCUGAUAGUGCAAUGGCAUAAGCGUGCUUAACUGCGAGACCGACAAGUCGAGCAGGUGCGAAAGCAGGUCAUAGUGAUCCGGUGGUUCUGUAUGGAAGGGCCAUCGCUCAACGGAUAAAAGGUACUCUGGGGAUAACAGGCUGAUACCGCCCAAGAGUUCAUAUCGACGGCGGUGUUUGGCACCUCGAUGUCGGCUCAUCUCAUCCUGGGGCUGUAGCCGGUCCCAAGGGUAUGGCUGUUCGCCAUUUAAAGAGGUACGUGAGCUGGGUUUAAAACGUCGUGAGACAGUUUGGUCCCUAUCUGCCGUGGGCGUUGGAUAUUUGAAGGGGGCUGCUCCUAGUACGAGAGGACCGGAGUGGACGAACCUCUGGUGUACCGGUUGUCACGCCAGUGGCAUCGCCGGGUAGCUAUGUUCGGAAGAGAUAACCGCUGAAAGCAUCUAAGCGGGAAACUCGCCUUAAGAUGAGAUAUCCCUGGGGACUAGAUCCCCUUGAAGGGUCGUUCGAGACCAGGACGUUGAUAGGUCAGGUGUGUAAGCGCAGUAAUGCGUUCAGCUAACUGAUACUAAUUGCCCGUAAGGCUUGAUCCU
RNAcentral lists this ribosomal RNA (2880 nucleotides) under Burkholderia contaminans. RNAcentral describes it as "23S ribosomal RNA". It matches the Rfam family "Bacterial large subunit ribosomal RNA". The record is from RNAcentral. Lineage: Bacteria; Pseudomonadati; Pseudomonadota; Betaproteobacteria; Burkholderiales; Burkholderiaceae.